This 72-nucleotide transfer RNA is filed under the name Camelus bactrianus (Bactrian camel). It matches the Rfam family "tRNA". From Rfam's summary of the family: Transfer RNA (tRNA) molecules are approximately 80 nucleotides in length. Their secondary structure includes four short double-helical elements and three loops (D, anti-codon, and T loops). Further hydrogen bonds mediate the characteristic L-shaped molecular structure. tRNAs have two regions of fundamental functional importance: the anti-codon, which is responsible for specific mRNA codon recognition, and the 3' end, to which the tRNAs corresponding amino acid is attached (by aminoacyl-tRNA synthetases). tRNAs cope with the degeneracy of the genetic code in two manners: having more than one tRNA (with a specific anti-codon) for a particular amino acid; and 'wobble' base-pairing, i.e. permitting non-standard base-pairing at the 3rd anti-codon position. RNAcentral also lists the same sequence under 1 other name. Lineage: Eukaryota; Metazoa; Chordata; Mammalia; Artiodactyla; Camelidae. The record is from Rfam by way of RNAcentral.
GAGGGUAUAGCUCAGUGGUAGAGUGCGUGCUUGGCAUGCGUGAGAUCCUGAGUUCAAUCCCCAGUACUGUUG